GUGCUCACUUUGGCAGCACAUAUACUAAAAUUGGAACGAUACAGAAAAGAUUAGCAUGGCCCCUGCGCAAGGAUGACACGCAACUUCGUUUGGUCUCACUCAUAGCA
Small nuclear RNA from Talpa occidentalis (Iberian mole), 107 nucleotides. Lineage: Eukaryota; Metazoa; Chordata; Mammalia; Eulipotyphla; Talpidae. The record is from RefSeq and is a predicted model, not a curated record.